GAUGAACGCUGGCGGCGUGCCUAAUACAUGCAAGUCGAGCGAACAGACGAGGAGCUUGCUCCUUUGACGUUAGCGGCGGACGGGUGAGUAACACGUAGGUAACCUACCUAUAAGACUGGGAUAACUUCGGGAAACCGGAGCUAAUACCGGAUAAUAUUUCGAACCGCAUGGUUCGAUAGUGAAAGAUGGCUUUGCUAUCACUUAUAGAUGGACCUGCGCCGUAUUAGCUAGUUGGUAAGGUAACGGCUUACCAAGGCAACGAUACGUAGCCGACCUGAGAGGGUGAUCGGCCACAAUGGAACUGAGACACGGUCCAGACUCCUACGGGAGGCAGCAGUAGGGAAUCUUCCGCAAUGGGAGAAAGCCUGACGGAGCAACGCCGCGUGAGUGAUGAAGGUCUUCGGAUCGUAAAACUCUGUUAUUAGGGAAGAACAAACGUGUAAGUAACUGUGCACGUCUUGACGGUACCUAAUCAGAAAGCCACGGCUAACUACGUG
RNAcentral lists this ribosomal RNA (497 nucleotides) under uncultured bacterium. Its description in RNAcentral is "partial 16S ribosomal RNA". It matches the Rfam family "Bacterial small subunit ribosomal RNA", at positions 28 to 507 of the family's 1533-position model. The record is from RNAcentral.